RNAcentral lists this ribosomal RNA (468 nucleotides) under uncultured bacterium. RNAcentral describes it as "partial 16S ribosomal RNA". It matches the Rfam family "Bacterial small subunit ribosomal RNA", at positions 28 to 507 of the family's 1533-position model. The record is from RNAcentral.
GACGAACGCUGGCGGCGUGCUUAACACAUGCCAGUCGAACGGAAAGGCCCUGCUUUUGUUGGGUGCUCGAGUGGCGAACGGGUGAGUAACACGUGAGUAACCUGCCCUUGACUUUGGGAUAACUUCAGGAAACUGGGGCUAAUACCGGAUAGGAGCUCCUGCUGCAUGGUGGGGGUUGGAAAGUUUCGGCGGUUGGGGAUGGACUCGCGGCUUAUCAGCUUGUUGGUGGGGUAGUGGCUUACCAAGGCUUUGACGGGUAGCCGGCCUGAGAGGGUGACCGGCCACAUUGGGACUGAGAUACGGCCCAGACUCCUACGGGAGGCAGCAGUGGGGAAUAUUGCACAAUGGGCGGAAGCCUGAUGCAGCAACGCCGCGUGCGGGAUGACGGCCUUCGGGUUGUAAACCGCUUUCGCAUGUGACGAAGCGUGAGUGACGGUAAUGGGUAAAGAAGCACCGGCUAACUACGUG